RNAcentral lists this long non-coding RNA (1593 nucleotides) under Homo sapiens (human). RNAcentral's name for it is "HSALNT0230964". The record is from RNAcentral. Lineage: Eukaryota; Metazoa; Chordata; Mammalia; Primates; Hominidae.
AUUUCGAGUAUCUUAUCCUUCAGGCAAAAUGGAAUUCUCCUCCCCCCUCCUUCUUCUCCCUCUCUUGUCAUUCAACAUUUGUAUCCUCCAAAUCGAUAAUGUGAACAGCAGCAUAAUUGGAAAUAAAAGAUGAUCUGAAAUCCACAGGAAAUUAGGUUGAGGCGCGUGGAGGAAAUACAGUCUCAUCCUGGACACAAGGUAGAUUUUUAUGAGAUGUGCCCCUACUCUGCAGUUUCUCCAGGAGUGUUUUCCCAGUGUCUCUGUCCUCAAUGGAAAGAAAUGGCCGUAUGUGAGACCGGAAGGUGGUCCAUAAACAUGAGAAUGGAGGAGUCAAUAGGAGGCUUCCUCUGCAUUCCCUUACAACAAUCACUUUGAGCUCUUUCUCCUCUCCGCAGGAGCAUUAUCUUGCUUUAUAGGGCAAGUCCAGGAAGCAGUGUGUGACAAAGAAUGAGUACCCAGUGCUGGAGGGCAUGGAGCAAUCCAUCGGCAGCUCCCGGUGGUGAUGAGUGAGUGUCCUGCGGCAGAGGGUGGGGUGGCAUAGCAAGAACAGUUGAAGGCAGGAAGUGGGAAAGCAUUCUGGUUACUGUCAUGCCAAGGGUCAGCGGCCAACAGUCCGGGAGAGUCUCCUUGCAUCUGUCUUCCUCUAACAAGCCAUGGCUGAAGCCCAGGGUGCCUGCUGGGCCUGAGAUGAGGGGCUCUGGGCAAGCUGUGCAUUCCAAUGGCCACCACAUCCUCCAGUUCAGAUCCUGACCCUGGUGGAUGGGUGUGUGUGGCCCAUAAAUCAACUGGACGCACUUCCCUUUGUUUGCACACUGCCACCGACACAGGCUUGCUAUGAAGAAGAAGAAAUUUUGCUCAGAGGAAACUAGAAAACCUGAACGUGUACACAAUGCUGACAUAUUUUGUUGCUUUCACCCCUCUUAAGAAUUUCUACCAUUCCUUUGAGAAGUUGAUUAUUUUUAAAACUGUGUAUCAUUUUGUCUUCUUGGGCAAAUUGCACAGUCAAUGAUAUGUUUCACCGAGUAUGUAAAUCCCUUUUACAUAUUUCAAAAUAAUAUCUAAUUAAAAUGUCAAGGUUAUAGCUCAUGAGGCUAGAGUGGACAGGGCUCCACCCCCUCCCUCAGCCUCUCAAAGUAACAUUUAAAGUAUGUCCUAUAAUUAGGAGCAAUUAUAAAUUCCAAUUAAAAAGAAACCUGCAUAACUCUGACAGUAUUUUUCUUUGAUGUUACUGGCUUUAAUUUAUGUGCUUGUUCCACCAAAUUGUCUUCACUUCCUCAGAUAUGUUCUCAGACAGAAAAGGCUUCCAAAACUGCAAAGAGAAAAACAGGUCAAAUCUGAGAAAAGUAGUGAAGUUCAUUAAAAAGGGUUAUUGCAUCUAUAACUUCUGGACUUGGUGCUCAUUGAUUAGAGAUUAAACAUCAUCCUUUGUACUACUCAGAUUGGGAUUUUUAAUUAGGAUGUCAUUAUUACACAGAUAUACUGAAUGCCAUAUUGAUUUUUGAGACCUUUUGAAAUAAUAGCACUGCUUAUGCAAAAUGAAAAUCAUAAUAGAUUAUUGACUUCUUCAGGAGUUUUGAUCCAAGGGUACCUCCC